UUAAGUUCAGCGGGUAUUCCUACCUGAUCCGAGGUCAACCUUGAGAAGGGGGGUGUUUAACGGCAAGAACCCGCCGCACGUCCAAAGCGAGAUGUUUUACUACGCUCGGUGUGACAGCGAGCCCGCCACUGUUUCAGGCCUGCGCAGCCGCAGGGCCCCAACACAAGCCUAGGGCUUGAUGGUUGAAAUGACGCUCGAAC
Molecule: unclassified non-coding RNA, 200 nt
Filed under: Ramophialophora sp.
Lineage: Eukaryota; Fungi; Ascomycota; Sordariomycetes; Sordariales
Description: partial internal transcribed spacer 2
Source: RNAcentral